RNAcentral lists this non-coding RNA (151 nucleotides) under uncultured Colwellia sp. Its description in RNAcentral is "Moco (molybdenum cofactor) riboswitch". It matches the Rfam family "Molybdenum/Tungsten riboswitch aptamer (Moco RNA motif)". Lineage: Bacteria; Pseudomonadati; Pseudomonadota; Gammaproteobacteria; Alteromonadales; Colwelliaceae. The record is from RNAcentral.
AAUUUUUACACCGAGCUGUAAUUGCUAACACCAACGUUUUCAAAAUGAAGGUUAAGUAGUUAUAAGCCGUAGCAGGUAUUCAGAAUCACUUGCUACCAGGGUUAACAAGGAAACACGUUAGCCUCCCACAUUUGGAAAGGUGACAUGUUAA